Manduca sexta (tobacco hornworm) is the source of this 733-nucleotide long non-coding RNA. RefSeq lists it as uncharacterized. NCBI's taxonomy places the organism in Eukaryota, Metazoa, Arthropoda, Insecta, Lepidoptera, Sphingidae. The record is from RefSeq and is a predicted model, not a curated record. The transcript has 3 exons.
CGUGCAAACGAGCUGUGCACUCGCGUGUGAUGUAAACAUUCCUUGUUUCAAUUAAUGUUAUCGCGGGUAUUGUUAACGUGUACCAUUUGUACCGACGCCUCGUCGACACCGGUAACUUGCUGUCUAAGAGCCGCACCACACGUGGUACAGUUGUGUGCGGCAGCGGCGUGUCGUCACGCUCGGGCUGCGCGGCCCGGGCCGGCGUCUUGUGGACUCGCGGAGUGGACUCGACGCGGCUCGUUGGCUCUCAGUGCCCCUGAACUAUGGGCUGCUCUUAGUGCUGUGGUCUGUGGUCGGGAAGUAGUACUUGUACACAGUAUACAUAAUGUAUUACAAAUGUCCCGCAAGCCUGCACAAUGCGCCGCCACACGUACAGCGGGCGACGCGCUAGUAGCUCAAAAGUAACCCCGCAGGUACUCUGUGGUGUAAAGCGAGCGGCAAGAGAGCGGUGCAAAGCACCUGCCGAGGAUUAAUGGGUCACCGCAGGGCUGCCGUGAAUGCGCCACUACAUUCACCACUAACAACUCACGAUAAUUAGCUUUCGAUUCAUGUUUUUUAAGUGUAACUCCAACUAAUCGACGAGCGUAUUUGUAGUUUCCAGAUAGUAACAUAUUUAACAAUCAUAGCAGGACACUGGAAUAUUCGGUGCAUAAUGGAGUUCUACAUCAUCAAUUAUAAAUGUGUACCAAAAAUAUUUAGACAAAAAAUUUAACUAAAUAUUUCCGAAUUGUAU